RNAcentral lists this ribosomal RNA (253 nucleotides) under uncultured bacterium. RNAcentral describes it as "partial 16S ribosomal RNA". It matches the Rfam family "Bacterial small subunit ribosomal RNA", at positions 524 to 776 of the family's 1533-position model. The record is from RNAcentral.
UACGUAGGGUGCAAGCGUUAAUCGGAAUUACUGGGCGUAAAGCGUGCGCAGGCGGUUUGGUAAGACAGAUGUGAAAUCCCCGGGCUUAACCUGGGAAUGGCAUUUGUGACUGCCCGGCUAGAAUGUGUCAGAGGGGGGUAGAAUUCCACGUGUAGCAGUGAAAUGCGUAGAUAUGUGGAGGAAUACCGAUGGCGAAGGCAGCCCCCUGGGAUAACAUUGACGCUCAUGCACGAAAGCGUGGGGAGCAAACGGG